This 292-nucleotide ribosomal RNA is filed under the name uncultured bacterium. RNAcentral's name for it is "partial 16S ribosomal RNA". It matches the Rfam family "Bacterial small subunit ribosomal RNA", at positions 505 to 796 of the family's 1533-position model. The record is from RNAcentral.
GUGCCAGCCGCCGCGGUAAGACAGAGGGUGCAAACGUUGCUCGGAAUUACUGGGCGUAAAGCGCGUGUAGGCGGACCGGAAAGUCAGAUGUGAAAUCCCUGGGCUCAACCCAGGAACUGCAUUUGAAACUUCCGGCCUUGAGUGACGGAGAGGGAAGCGGAAUUCCUGGUGUAGAGGUGAAAUUCGUAGAUAUCAGGAGGAACACCGGUGGCGAAGGCGGCUUCCUGGACGUCCACUGACGCUGAGACGCGAAAGCGUGGGGAGCAAACAGGAUUAGAUACCCUCGUAGUCC